ACCAACAUUGAUAGCCCGAUCUCCAACGCUGUUGUUCUCCACCUCUCUCUCUUCCCUUCAUCGGCGGAUACGCUCCUCUUCCCUUUCUCCACCCCUCCCUCAUCUUCGCCCGCUCAAGCUCUCUCCCCUCUUCACCGCCGAGAUCGAGCCACCGCCGCCUCUCCUUCUACAGUUGCCGUGAUCGAGCGAGGAACCUAGCUUCGAGGAGAGCGAGGCCGGGGUUGGCGGCCGGGCGGGGCAGGGGCUGGCGGCUGGUGGCGGCAGGCUGCACGUAGGGCGGGGGAUGGCGACCGGCGGCGUGGCCGUGCGGAGGGCUGCGCGGCAAGCGGUGGCCUGCGGCUCUGCCGGAGGGGAAGCAGGAGGCGGCAGUGGGGCGCAUGGAUAUGUGAUGUUUUCUUCUUUUUUUUUUUUUAGAAUUUGUGAUUCUAGAUCUAAGAUGUAUUUGAUUUGCGUGUGAUAUGAAUAUGUGAUGUAUUUGUGAUGUAAUUCCUUUUGAAUUUGUGAUGUAUUUGGAGAUGAUCGAUUUGAGGAUUUGGAC
RNAcentral lists this small RNA (538 nucleotides) under Oryza sativa Japonica Group (Japanese rice). Its description in RNAcentral is "sRNA Os01g0797700". The record is from RNAcentral. Lineage: Eukaryota; Viridiplantae; Streptophyta; Magnoliopsida; Poales; Poaceae.